RNAcentral lists this ribosomal RNA (504 nucleotides) under uncultured bacterium. RNAcentral's name for it is "partial 16S ribosomal RNA". It matches the Rfam family "Bacterial small subunit ribosomal RNA", at positions 29 to 523 of the family's 1533-position model. The record is from RNAcentral.
AUUGAACGCUGGCGGCAGGCCUAACACAUGCAAGUCGAACGGUAGCACAGGGAGCUUGCUCUCGGGUGACGAGUGGCGGACGGGUGAGUAACGUCUGGGAAACUGCCCGAUGGAGGGGGAUAACUACUGGAAACGGUAGCUAAUACCGCAUAACGUCGCAAGACCAAAGUGGGGGACCUUCGGGCCUCACACCAUCGGAUGUGCCCAGAUGGGAUUAGCUAGUAGGUGGGGUAAUGGCUCACCUAGGCGACGAUCCCUAGCUGGUCUGAGAGGAUGACCAGCCACACUGGAACUGAGACACGGUCCAGACUCCUACGGGAGGCAGCAGUGGGGAAUAUUGCACGAUGGGCGCAAGCCUGAUGCAGCCAUGCCGCGUGUAUGAAGAAGGCCUUCGGGUUGUAAAGUACUUUCAGCGGGGAGGAAGGCGGUGAAGUUAAUAACUUCACCGAUUGACGUUACCCGCAGAAGAAGCACCGGCUAACUCCGUGCCAGCCGCCGCGGUAA